RNAcentral lists this non-coding RNA (242 nucleotides) under Exoneura robusta. Lineage: Eukaryota; Metazoa; Arthropoda; Insecta; Hymenoptera; Apidae. The record is from RNAcentral.
GUGAGUUUACGGGGAAAGGUUCGCUGGGACGGCGAACUUUUCUGUUGAAACCUAACCUAUUGUUAACUAUGUAAAUAUACUUAUGUAGUUAUGACAUUAACGAUAGGAGAAUACCUUUUCGUAGUGUUUUCCAGGUUUUGUUAAUGUCCCAUAAUCGAGCAGAGUUUCCUCUUUGCUCAUUUGGUUAGUUCGCUCUUCAUCCAAUUAAAAUUGAAAGGGUAUUGUAAACUCUUUAUUUUUAU